Molecule: long non-coding RNA, 1180 nt
Organism: Penaeus chinensis
Lineage: Eukaryota; Metazoa; Arthropoda; Malacostraca; Decapoda; Penaeidae
Exons: 2
Source: RefSeq, a predicted model, not a curated record
UUGAUUAUUCAUAGUUAUAAUAACUAAUGACUAUUACAGGUAAUUGACAUUAAUAUUGAUAUAACAGCUGUUGUUAUUAUUUCAUUAUUAUUAUUAUUAUUAUUAUUAUUAUUAUUGUAAUUAUUAUUAUUAUUGUCAUUAUUAUUACUGAUAAUGCUUGAAUAUUAGAUAUAUUUGUAAAUUUCUAUAUUUGAUAUUUUAGAAUGUAAAUGAGUGGGUAUUGUUUGAUGUAGGAUAUUUAUGCAGAUUUUUUUCUUCUCCCCCCCCCACCCCCCCUCCAAGAAAAAAGUUCCUGUGUUUAAGUCUGGCAUGUCUUGGCGAGAUUUGGUGCUUGGGCAAGAUGUAUGUCAGCAUGGAGGAAGGAGGGAAGUACUCUGUAUAUAUCAAGGGCGUAGUGGACGCGCAUUUGGAGAUCUUGAGGAAAUACACUGAAUUCUGAGGAACACACCACUUCAUUGGUCCUUGGUUCCCCAAAGGCAUCGACUGCAUCACUCUUGAAUUAUCAACGGUUGUGUUUUUCUGACGAAUAUCUUAAAUGAUAGAGUAAAUAUUUUUCCUGUAAUCGAUUUACAUUGUACAAUGUGUAUCCAAACGUACAUAAUAAGUAAUCAUGCGAAUCACCUCCUUUGUACUUAUUACUUCUCCCUUUUCACUUGAGUUUCUAAUUAUGGAAAAAAAAGUAAAAAAAAAAAAGCGACUCCUGUUUGCCACAACAGUGCCCUUCCCCGGAUUCUUCCCUCUCCUGAUACUUCCCCCCUGAUCCCUUAUCCCACUCACCAAUGUUUCCCCUUCUACUUCUCCAACUCCCUUUUCACCCUCAUCAUUCACUGUUUCAUAAUUACUCCUCUACACUGAAACAUUCGCACUUUCUGUUCUCAUACACCUAUAUCUUCCACCUGAUCGAAUUGCCUUUAACACCCCCUUCAUCUUAUCCCUGCCUUGCCCCAGUUACCCACUCGCUUUAUCCUCACCCUUAACACUUUUCAACACCAUACAUCCUAAAGUGCUCUACGGCUUUUGACUUCUGUAGCACAUUUCAGCCUUAAUUCCUUAAACUCUACAUUUACCCUUUUCGCAACUAUGUUUUUCUAUAGGUCUAUGUGCCCUUUGAUGUCGAACGUUGAUUUACUUUUAACCAUUGAUGCAUUAGAAAAAUAUAGUAAUCAUUUCCUGCCUAUAA